This 508-nucleotide ribosomal RNA is filed under the name uncultured bacterium. RNAcentral describes it as "partial 16S ribosomal RNA". It matches the Rfam family "Bacterial small subunit ribosomal RNA", at positions 28 to 523 of the family's 1533-position model. The record is from RNAcentral.
GAUGAACGCUAGCUACAGGCUUAACACAUGCAAGUCGAGGGGAAACGAUAUUGGAAGCUUGCUUCCGAUAGGCGUCGACCGGCGCACGGGUGAGUAACGCGUAUCCAACCUGCCCACCACUUGGGGAUAACCUUGCGAAAGUAAGACUAAUACCCAAUGAUAUCUCUAGAAGACAUCUGAAGGAGAUUAAAGAUUCAUCGGUGAUGGAUGGGGAUGCGUCUGAUUAGCUUGUUGGCGGGGUAACGGCCCACCAAGGCGACGAUCAGUAGGGGUUCUGAGCGGAAGGUCCCCCACGUUGGAACUGAGACACGGUCCAAACUCCUACGGGAGGCAGCAGUGAGGAAUAUUGGUCAAUGGGCGAGAGCCUGAACCAGCCAAGUAGCGUGCAGGAUGACGGCCCUAUGGGUUGUAAACUGCUUUUAUAAGGGAAUAAAGUGAGUCUCGUGAGACUUUUUGCAUGUACCUUAUGAAUAAGGACCGGCUAAUUCCGUGCCAGCAGCCGCAGUAA